RNA transcript from Triplophysa dalaica, 3114 nucleotides. It is a transcript of the gene named synapse differentiation-inducing gene protein 1, with no coding region annotated. The transcript is spliced from 5 exons. NCBI's taxonomy places the organism in Eukaryota, Metazoa, Chordata, Actinopteri, Cypriniformes, Nemacheilidae. The record is from RefSeq and is a predicted model, not a curated record.
AUACAUCAACGGCACUGAACAGGCUUUGGUUAUUAAGUAACAUUACCGCAGUCGCGAGAAAACGGUUUUAAAAUGCAGUAUAAUCGACAUCGUGUACGAAUGAAAGGUUUUCGGUCAUGAUUUGUAUUAUCUUAACCGGAAAACGAUUGGCCAAAACGAGAACAAAAACGGAACACUGUGGACUUUUAUUAGUUGCUCUUUCAUCAGAUUUACAUCUGAGAAGAUAGAGGACGUAAACAUAUCCUGAGUCGAUGAGAUAAUUCGUUUUUCUCCACAAAAUUCACUGACUGCUGUACCAGCUCACCUUGGAAGGAGAGAAGGGGAGAGGUACUUUAUACCUCAUGCCUCCACAAAGUAAUUUGUGAGGCGAGCCUUCCCCCUCACCAGCGCCGAUAGACCAGCAUGGAGAGAGUGUUAAGAACAGGACAAGAACCCCGAGCGGCCAAUGAGAGAGAUCAAGGGAAGACACCAUUAGCAGGGAGUGGGGAACUGGGUCCUGAAUGCUGCAAACGUAAUGGAUUGAUCAAUACCCAUAAUCUAAGGGUGGAGACUAAGGAAGGACUGGUGUCGGCUUAUUCCGCUCCACAGUAUCAGGGCCACGUGGUGUCCAAGGACAAAAACGGGACAAAGGAUGGGAAAGAGCCCCCGCAGUUGCUGAACCCCAGUGCUCUUCCCCAAGCCAUAGACCCUUAUUACAGGCCCAGCCUCAUUCUUUAUCCUGAGAGCAUGUUGAAAGCAUGGGGUGAGGGAGGGGACUGCUGCGAGACUACUUUCAUUGAAGAAAUGAACCCUGCCUCUUCUGGCUCGGCUAAAGAUGGAAUUGUGUUCGCUGACGGCAGGCUUCUGGAUCUUUCUAUGGAAGACGCCAAGAUCCAAACACUUUCCUAUGACUUGGAUGAUGACGAUGACGAAUUUCAAGAAUUUGAGAGUGAGUUCUCAAGCGAUUCAGAGAGUGAAGACAAUUUUCUCAUGAUGCCCCCGAGGGACCAUCUGGGCCUCAGCGUUUUCUCCAUGCUUUGCUGCUUCUGGCCCCUUGGCAUCGCAGCUUUCUACCUGUCACAUGAGACAAACAAGGCGGUGAAUGAAGGGGACUUUCACCACGCCAGCUCCAGCUCCAGACGCGCCCUCUUCCUCGCCGUUCUUUCCAUCACCAUCGGCACUGGCAUCUAUGUGGGCGUGGCUGUGGCCCUUAUCGCAUACCUCUCCAAAAACAAUCACUUGUAGCCUUCCCCGGGAUCACUUCAGUGUUUCCCACCUUGAGGCUUUUUUGGACUUACCAGCAAAAGUUUAUAUUCAGUCUCUUCAGAUGUCCCAACACCGAUGGAGAGAUGACCCUACCCCUUCGUGGACUCCAGAUGACAUCAGUUUUGGAUCAUCAUUCAACACUCUCACAUUUUUCCCUGUACAGUGGAAAUAUUUGUGUUUCCCAAUCCCAGUCCUCAGGGCAUGCAAGAAUGUUUCCCUAAAUAUAAAACUCCUGAUUCAAGUCAUCAUCGACUCAUGAGUUUAUUCAGGUGUUUUAUAUAGAACAUUCUGCAACGGGUGCCCAGAGAACUGGGAUUGGGAAACACUUUUCUUUGAUCAUGUUUAAGGUUGCUUCGAUUGAUCGGUCGUCGAUCAUUGUCUGCCGAUAAAUGUUUGAAAAGAAUUGAUUUGGGAUCAAGGACGAUCAGAAGAGCUGAUCAGAUGAAGCAAAAUUUGAGUGAUGAUUUUAUGCGCCGCUAAUAUUGCUUUACUAUUCACCGGUGAGGCAGUUCUAGCAGGUAUCCGACAAACAUGAGCAUUGUUCAGCGUACAUGCAGAGGAAAUCUGCAAGAGAACAAGAUGAUGAGGCGAGCGGUUCGACCAAUUACGGCGCCAAAGAAAGCUGUAAAGUAAAUCUGCCUGGUUUAUUCUAAUAAUCUUAAAAAAAAAUCUGAUUGCAAUGAAGUAAGACAAUUGGGGGGAACUCUUAAAUUAUAAAUUCUUGCAAGUAGAAAUUCUCGUUAGUAAAAAAUCUGGUUGACUAUAGCAUUAUUGCUUUCGGGUUUUGUCUCAGUUAGCGCAGUUACAUCCCUACAUAGCGUCCAUAGGGAAAUAUAAAGUUUCUCACUUGUUCGCCUCAAGAUUAGGGUCAACGACAUGAGUCAAAUUAUCCCCAAACUACAUCAUACACGACAACCAAAAUAGAAAAAGUCUUCAAGCUAUCUGUUUUCCAGCUACAUUCACAAAUAUAAAAAAGUAAGUAAUGUUUUGUCACUAAGCUGUAGUGCUGUCAGUUUGCUGAAAUUUUAAUGGAUUUUAAAGAUAUCCUUAUCGCUAUAUUGAAAAAUGACCUCAGAGCUACGAGAGCAGAAGUGGCUUAGCUGGCUGGGAUUUUAGUGCAUCAUCACCCAGCAAGCAUAAAGUCUAUUCUGAGUGUAUGUGAAAAGUGUUUGUAAAAGAUUAAUUGUAUUAUUUAAUUGUUUGAUGUAAUAUUUUAAUUUUAAACACAUUGAUAAGGAUCAGGAAAUACACUACCUGUCCAAAAAAAGUCACCACCUGGAUAUAACUCAGAAAAUAGGUAAGAGCCUCCCAUUGGAUUGGUGGUCUACGAUUAGCAUUGUUAAGCGCCCAAAGAAUGAGGUCAGCUGACUACCUGAAUAUACUGAAUGACCAGGUUAUUCCAACAAUGAGUUUUUUUCUUCUCUGAUGGCACGGGCAUAUUCUAAGAUGACAAUAUCAGGAUUCAUCGGGCUCAAAUUGUGAAAGAGUGGUUCAGGGAGCAUGAGACAUCAUAAUAGGCCACCAAGUCCACACUUUAACCCCAUUGAGAAUCUUUGGGAUGUGCUGUAGAAUACUUUGAGCAGCGGUCAGACCCUCCCAUCCAAGUGCGCCGCCAGGAAUUUUGGGCCCCAUGACAAAAAAUCUAAUUCGGCCCCCUCUAUGCAGCUGCUGUCACCACAUCUCUAGAACCUAACUGUACCAUCAAAAGCUUUACAUAACUAUAAUUAAAGGCUUGCAACUGUCCUGCUUCUUCUAGUUCAAUACUAGUACUAGCACAAUAUUUUCUGCUGGUGAUUUGUACAUGCAUGCAAGUCUAGUAUGAAGUUCACUAUUUGAUGCAAGAUUAAAAGCAACCACAAAAAAUGUGCU